Molecule: transfer RNA, 75 nt
Filed under: Candidatus Methanophagaceae archaeon GoMg1
Lineage: Archaea; Methanobacteriati; Methanobacteriota; Methanomicrobia; Candidatus Methanophagales; Candidatus Methanophagaceae
Also listed under: 1 other name
Description: tRNA-Trp
Rfam family: tRNA
About the family: Transfer RNA (tRNA) molecules are approximately 80 nucleotides in length. Their secondary structure includes four short double-helical elements and three loops (D, anti-codon, and T loops). Further hydrogen bonds mediate the characteristic L-shaped molecular structure. tRNAs have two regions of fundamental functional importance: the anti-codon, which is responsible for specific mRNA codon recognition, and the 3' end, to which the tRNAs corresponding amino acid is attached (by aminoacyl-tRNA synthetases). tRNAs cope with the degeneracy of the genetic code in two manners: having more than one tRNA (with a specific anti-codon) for a particular amino acid; and 'wobble' base-pairing, i.e. permitting non-standard base-pairing at the 3rd anti-codon position.
Source: RNAcentral
GGGGUCGUGGCCUAGUCCGGAAGGGCAGCGGGCUCCAGACUCGCCGAUCGUGCGUUCAAAUCGCACCGACCCCAC